GAUUGGCUGUGUGAGCUCCUUUCUGGUGCUCACUCUGUAUGGACUAGGGCCGGGUGCACAACAACACGCAAUCGCCAGACACACUAUUGGGCCCUGAGACAACACUCGGCCGACUUCGGUUGAAGUGGUGUCCCUCCAUCUCGGUGGUGGGGUGUGGUGUUUGAGUAUUGAAUAGUGGUUCCCUC
RNAcentral lists this unclassified non-coding RNA (185 nucleotides) under Mycobacterium simiae. RNAcentral's name for it is "partial 16S-23S ribosomal RNA intergenic spacer". The record is from RNAcentral. Lineage: Bacteria; Bacillati; Actinomycetota; Actinomycetes; Mycobacteriales; Mycobacteriaceae.